GCUUAGCUGUAAACUUUUAUUUACAUCUAAAUCGCCAGGGAACUACAAGCUAAGCUUUAAACCCAAAGGACUUGACGGUACCCCAUAUCCCCCUAGAGGAGCCUGUCCUAUAAUCGAUAAUCCACGUUUAACCUCACCAUUUUUAGUUAAUCAGCCUGUAUACCUCCGUCGUCAGCUUACCACGUGAGCGCCAAUUAGUGAGCCUAAUGUUAUUCUACCAAAACGUCAGGUCAAGGUGCAGCAAAUGAAAUGGAAAGAGAUGGGCUACACUUUCUAUAUUAGAAAAAACGAAAAACUACUUAUGAAACCUAGUUAGAAGGCGGAUUUAGCAGUAAAAAGGAAUCAGCAUGUCCAUUUUAACCCGGCACUGGGGUGUGU
This 378-nucleotide ribosomal RNA is filed under the name Altiphrynoides malcolmi (Malcolm's Ethiopian toad). RNAcentral describes it as "partial 12S ribosomal RNA". It matches the Rfam family "Bacterial small subunit ribosomal RNA", at positions 794 to 1384 of the family's 1533-position model. Lineage: Eukaryota; Metazoa; Chordata; Amphibia; Anura; Bufonidae. The record is from RNAcentral.